Molecule: long non-coding RNA, 1853 nt
Organism: Daphnia carinata
Lineage: Eukaryota; Metazoa; Arthropoda; Branchiopoda; Diplostraca; Daphniidae
Exons: 3
Source: RefSeq, a predicted model, not a curated record
GCCGAUUUCUCCUUGGUUCAGUGAAACCCACUUGAUGUUCGUUUCAACUGUUUGAAUGCCUUGCUUGACGCUGUUUGAAUUUCCCAAAAUGAUGAAAUGAUCAUCCCGUAGUUGAAUCAGCUAAAACAGUCCAGCUUGUGUGUUUUGGCGAGUGCAGACGUAGCGGUACCAAGCGGGAAAGUAAGUCACUCCUAGCCUAUAUUCGGCAUAUUUUUAAAAUCAAUUGGCGGAAAAUCAUAAAGAUUUUACUUACGCAUUUCGAAUGUCAUCCCAGCGGUUGAUCAGAAAAUCCAGAGCAAUCUCGUUACCGAUAGGAUUAUUUGCAACGUUGUUGAAGACUGUGUUGACGUCCGAUGAUCGGAUGCCGGAAUUGGGAUCCAACAACAUUUCCAAUAAUCUAAGGAAACGUUUCUCCCGCCACUCGGUGAUUAUUGUGUUAACGUAAAUUUGAAUUCCAUAAUUACCCUGUUAAUACUGUGGCUUGUUUACUGGCGCACAUUGCCACAAGGUAGCCAGAGUCACCUUUGUUCUUGUACUGCUGGAAAGCGAAAUCGUAUUCGACCUGACCACCGUAUUCGAUGGCCGUGCGUAACACCGUCGAUUUUUCAUUCGGCGAAAUAAUCCUGAAUUUCGAACAGUUCGGGUUCUUAUCAUUCUCGUCCUUUAAAUUCUUAAUCUUAAAUUACUGGACAAUGUUGUCUGGCUGGGCCAUUAGAGUAGCGUAUGCGGCAAGCGAAUUUUGGACACAAUCCGUCACGCCAAGUCUACAAGCCCAAUUGACAGCAUCGAUGCGGCUCAGUUUGUCAAAGUGGGGAUUAGCCUGGGUUUCCUGGAACCCGAUGAAGGUGUAAUAAGGCUCGACAAGGCUAGUCAAAUAAUUCUGUCAGGCAAAUAUCCAUUCCGUUAGGUGAAGAACGAAAACUAUCAUUUUUUUUACAUGUCAUACCUUCCAGCUGGGGAAUUCGGCGAAAUUAUAAAGCAUAGUGUCCACAUAGUUGAACUCGGAGAGCACUGCAUGCCAUGGCACGUAUUCAAUCUCGUUUUUCAGAUACAGCGUAAGGUCAAAAGCCUGGGCGUAGGGAAGUAAUUCGAUCAAUGCGAAAUUAAACGCGUCAUCGAGAAGUUGAGCCCUGUUGUUAUCAGCAAAACGUUGAUGGUCUGCGAUGAGUUGGUCACGGAUCAAACCAUAGUUAACAGCGUCGUAGAGCACUCUGUAAUAAUCUAAAAAGUAAAGAAUGAAAAGAAGUUGCAGAUAUAGCCAGUUCUUGAUACUUACUUUGUUGUUCAACGUUGAAAAUGACCCAUUGAUUGGCGGCAGCUCCUAGAUUAGUUAACGGUUUGCUGACUUGACUUACUGGGAGCCAAUCUCUUUUCGCUGCUUGAGUGAAGUCACUGGUGUAGGUUAAGGGCACCCACCAUUGGUAGACGAUAGGAUCGGUAGAAUCGUUGCUUUUCCGGAGUAAAAAUCUCUCCUGUUGAUAGGUGUAAAAGAGGUAAUUAGAAACAGCUUGCACGUAUUCAAAUUUCUUUUCAUGUUUAUCUAACCUGUUUAACAUUAGCACCACCUAUUUGGUAAUCGCGUGUUACUGUAAUAAAGGGGAAGCCCAUUUUAUAUGUCCAAGUGUCCAUGAUCUCUUUGAUGGUUGCUGGAAGGACAACGUUCUCCAAGUCAACUUGAGUUUGUAAAGCUGCCCACAAGUCGUCUUGGUUUGCAUUGCCAUAAGCGCUACAAAGAAAGGUAACGAGUGAGCCCGCGCUGAAACACUUCGAAACCGAUAAAGUCUGCACACAUGCGGAUCACGCAAGAACCUUAAUAAAAGUAAAAUAUUUUACUUAAUAACAAUUUUUUUUUU